UCGAACGGGGUUUAUAUGACGGAACUCUCCCGAGGGAAGAUAUAUAAACCUAGUGGCGGACGGGUGAGUAACGCGUGGGCAACCUGCCCUGUACCGGGGGACAACAGCCAGAAAUGGCUGCUAACACCGCAUAAGCCUGCUGUGCCGCAUGGCACAGCAGGGAAAACCACGGUGGUACAGGAUGGGCCCGCGUCUGAUUAGUUAGUUGGCAGGGUAACGGCCUACCAAGACAACGAUCAGUAGCCGGCUUGAGAGAGUGGACGGCCACAUUGGGACUGAGACACGGCCCAGACUCCUGCGGGAGGCAGCGGUGGGGAAUAUUGCACAAUGGGGGGAACCCUGAUGCAGCAAUGCCGCGUGGGUGAAGAAGCACUCCGGUGCGUAAAGCCCUGUCAGCAGGGAAGAAAAUGACAGUACCUGGACAAGAAGCCCCGGCUAACUACGUGCCAGCAGCCGCGGUAAUACGUAGGGGGCAAGCGUUAUCCGGAUUUACUGGGUGUAAAGGGAGCGUAGACGGCAGUGCAAGUCCGAUGUGAAAACCCGGGGCUCAACCCUGGGAGUGCAU
RNAcentral lists this ribosomal RNA (565 nucleotides) under uncultured bacterium. RNAcentral describes it as "bacterial SSU rRNA". It matches the Rfam family "Bacterial small subunit ribosomal RNA", at positions 62 to 626 of the family's 1533-position model. The record is from RNAcentral.